UCAAAAACAUCUUUUCUUGUUAGUUUCUGAAGUAUGGCCUGCCCGCUGACGUAUCUUGAGUUGAAGGGCCGCGGUAUUUUGACCGUGCAAAGGUAGCAUAGUCAUUAGUUCUUUAAUUGUGAUCUGGUAUGAAUGGCUUGACGAGACAUGGGCUGUCUUGGGCGUGAAUUUGUUGUUGAAUUUGGAGUUUAAGUUAAAAUUCUUAGAUGUUUUUAUGGGACGAGAAGACCCUAUAGAGUUUGACAUUUGAUUGCGUAUUUUUUAUUGUUUGUUUUGAGUUUUUGCGUAUCUUUUGUUUUGUUGGGGUGAUGGGAGGAAUUUAUUUAA
Molecule: ribosomal RNA, 327 nt
Filed under: Odontotermes bhagwatii
Lineage: Eukaryota; Metazoa; Arthropoda; Insecta; Blattodea; Termitidae
Description: partial 16S ribosomal RNA
Source: RNAcentral